UUGCAGUGAUGAAUUUGGUUCCAAAGCCAUUCGUAGUUUCCACCAGAAGUUUGACUAAUGAUGGCUAAAGCCUUCCUUGGAUGUCUGAGCGA
RNAcentral lists this small nucleolar RNA (92 nucleotides) under Crocodylus porosus (Australian saltwater crocodile). RNAcentral's name for it is "Small nucleolar RNA SNORD14 (ENSCPRG00005002810.1)". It matches the Rfam family "Small nucleolar RNA SNORD14". Rfam says of the family: U14 small nucleolar RNA (U14 snoRNA) is required for early cleavages of eukaryotic precursor rRNAs. In yeasts, this molecule possess a stem-loop region (known as the Y-domain) which is essential for function. Lineage: Eukaryota; Metazoa; Chordata; Crocodylia; Crocodylidae. The record is from Rfam by way of RNAcentral.